This 468-nucleotide ribosomal RNA is filed under the name uncultured bacterium. RNAcentral describes it as "partial 16S ribosomal RNA". It matches the Rfam family "Bacterial small subunit ribosomal RNA", at positions 28 to 507 of the family's 1533-position model. The record is from RNAcentral.
GACGAACGCUGGCGGCGUGCUUAACACAUGCCAGUCGAACGGAAAGGCCCUGCUUUUGUGGGGUGCUCGAGUGGCGAACGGGUGAGUAACACGUGAGUAACCUGCCCUUGACUUUGAGAUAACUUCAGGAAACUGGGGCUAAUACCGGAUAGGAGCUCCUGCUGCAUGGUGGGGGUUGGAAAGUUUCGGCGGUUGGGGAUGGACUCGCGGCUUAUCAGCUUGUUGGUGGGGUAGUGGCUUACCAAGGCUUUGACGGGUAGCCGGCCUGAGAGGGUGACCGGCCACAUUGGGGCUGAGAUACGGCCCAGACUCCUACGGGAGGCAGCAGUGGGGAAUAUUGCACAAUGGGCGGAAGCCUGAUGCAGCAACGCCGCGUGCGGGAUGACGGCCUUCGGGUUGUAAACCGCUUUCGCCUGUGACGAAGCGUGAGUGACGGUAAUGGGUAAAGAAGCACCGGCUAACUACGUG